This 686-nucleotide ribosomal RNA is filed under the name fungal sp. K7. RNAcentral describes it as "partial 18S rRNA". The record is from RNAcentral. RNAcentral also lists the same sequence under 1 other name. Lineage: Eukaryota; Fungi.
CGGGUCAAAAAAUAACGCCGUCCGAUCCCUAAUCGGCAUAGUUUAUGGUUAAGACUACGACGGUAUCUGAUCGUCUUCGAUCCCCUAACUUUCGUUCCUGAUUAAUGAAAACAUCCUUGGCAAAUGCUUUCGCAGUAGUUAGUCUUCAAUAAAUCCAAGAAUUUCACCUCUGACAAUUGAAUACUGAUGCCCCCGACUGUCCCUAUUAAUCAUUACGGCGGUCCUAGAAACCAACAAAAUAGAACCACACGUCCUAUUCUAUUAUUCCAUGCUAAUGUAUUCGAGCAUAGGCCUUCUUUAAGCGAUCUAAUUUGUUCAGAGUAAAAGUCCUGGUUCCCCGGCACACCCAGUGAAGGGCAUGCGGUUCUCCAGAAGGAAAGACCCAGCCGAGCCAGUGCACGCGGUGAGGCGGACCGGCCGGCUAGGCCCAAGGUUCAACUACGAGCUUUUUAACCUCAACAACUUUAAUAUACGCUAUUGGAGCUGGAAUUACCGCGGCUGCUGGCACCAGACUUGCCCUCCAAUUGUUCCUCGUUAAGGGAUUUAAAUUGUACUCAUUCCAAUUACAAGACCCGAAAGAGCCCUGUAUCAGUAUUUAUUGUCACUACCUCCCCGUGUCGGGAUUGGGUAAUUUGCGCGCCUGCUGCCUUCCUUGGAUGUAGUAGCCGUUUCUCAGGCUCCUUCUC